AAAUCCCCAAAUUCUCAGAUGGAAGUGACACUGUAUUGUAGUUUUUUCUCUUAGUGCUGUCAUCUUCUGCUUCUAUAUAUGGUAACACUCCAUCAUCAUGACCACUCUGAAAUCACAAAAGAAAACCCAUCAGAAAAGGAAAAAUAAAAUAAAAUUCAGAAUUUAUACAAAAGUAGAAAAAAUCUAUCCACAUCUAUAAAGCUUGACUAUUUAUAUCUCAACUAGAUCAGAUAUGAUAUUACGUAAACAGAGGAAAUUAAUGUCACUAAUAAACAUUAGUUCUUGAUUAACCUUAACUUGAUAUUUCUUGAUUAGAGAGAACAACAAACAAACCUUAGAGAAACCAAAAGGAGGAAGCGAGGAGUCGAGGAAGUCCUCUACGUGCCAACCAGGUAAGGUAUCGAUUAAGUACUCUGAAACCGUGCUUGUAGAGCCCCACUGACUCACCUCUGAGUCGCCACCGAUCUUUGAAGAAAGUUGGAUCUUGGAGGUGUUGCUCUGAGGAGCUGAGAGAGGUUUCUUGGAAGGGACAGAGCAGUCUUGACUACUAGAGGAAGAAGAUCCUGAAGUUGGUUUGUAAACAGAAGAUGUAGCAGAGAGCUUAACCCCUGUGAGAAGAAACCUAUCGUGUUUCUUCUUGUGCUCGUUGGCAGAGUGUAUCGAUGUAUCACAAUCUUUGCAUAAGAUAGCCCUAUCUUGCUGACAAAACAACAAAGCUUUUUUCUCCUACAAUUUACAAAAAAAAUGACUUCAGAUUAUUAUGAUCGUUAGACCAAAACCAGUGUCCUUAAAAUCUUGACAAGAAGUUGAGAGAGACCUGACAGAUGUCGCAGACAGGAGAGGAGUUGUUGGAGGAAGAUGGGUAUAGGAGAGAGAAACGGAGAUGUUUGGAGGCAAGCUUGU
Molecule: long non-coding RNA, 903 nt
Filed under: Brassica rapa (field mustard)
Lineage: Eukaryota; Viridiplantae; Streptophyta; Magnoliopsida; Brassicales; Brassicaceae
Description: long non-coding RNA (BRAP_LNC005403)
Source: RNAcentral